Molecule: long non-coding RNA, 969 nt
Organism: Peromyscus californicus insignis
Lineage: Eukaryota; Metazoa; Chordata; Mammalia; Rodentia; Cricetidae
Exons: 3
Source: RefSeq, a predicted model, not a curated record
GGUCCAUGUUAGCUAUAUAUCCUCCUAACAGUUUAACUGUCCUAUGUUAUGCCACCCUCACAUCUACCACGUCAGGGCUGCCCACUGAAAAGGGCUGGACAUGGCAGGGCAGGAAGAAACCAGACCCUUGUGAAAAGCCUGGCAAAAAGUUGACAGAAGAUAUGUGCUGGGGGAUGUCUUUCUGUAUGCUGUGAAUAUAUGUUGUUCCCAUUGGUUAAUAAAGAAGCUGCUCUGGCCUAUGGCAAGUCAGGUUAUAGUCAGGCAGGAAAUCCAAGAGAGAGACAGGAAGAAGAAAGGCAAAGGCAGAGUCUAGAGAGACGCCAGCAUGGCCAGAAGCAAGAUGUAAAAAUACUGGUAAGCCGUGAGCUACACUAUGGCGGGUUCAUGGAGCGCAGGCUUGAGCUACAGCGUGGCGGGUCCCCUCCGAGGUACACAGAGAUUUCUCCAAGCCCUGCAUCGCAAAGAUGAGAACUUAUGGAUUGCUUCCAGGCUAAGAUGGUUUGACCACUGAAGACCCCUGAAAGAUCUCCAAUAACACCAUGGCCCAGAUGAUCCGACAUCCAGAACAGCUUCAAGGCAACUGACUCAGACAAUGCAGCCUCACAAACUACUCCAGUCAGGACUUGACCAUAAUUCUUAAUUUUCUCAGGAUCCCCAUAAGAUUGCCAGCACCCCCAACCAGCAGGAAGUAGUAUGAAAAGCUAUGUCCAAAUUUCCAAAAUAUUGUUUAUAAUUGUUUAUUUUUAUUUAAAGGGGAGGGACAAUGGAAGACAAAGGGGCAGGACAAUGGAAGACAAAGGGGCAGGACAAUGGAAGACAAAGGGGCAGGACAAUGGAAGACAAAGGGGCGGGACAAUGGAAGACAAAGGGGCAGGACAAUGGAAGAGAUGGAAAACAGCACAGAGCAUUCUCACGUGUCUUGGGCAGUUUAACAUAGGUGACAUGGGGGAAACAGUUUGGGAACACGGA